CAGUCGCCGCGGGAAUACGUAGGGUGCAAGCGUCAAUCGGAAUUACUGGGCGUAAAGCGUGCGCAGGCGGUUUGUUAAGACAGAUGUGAAAUCCCCGGGCUCAACCUGGGAACUGCAUUUGUGACUGGCAGGCUAGAGUAUGGCAGAGGGGGGUGGAAUUCCGCGUGUAGCAGUGAAAUGCGUAGAUAUGCGGAGGAACACCGAUGGCGAAGGCAGCCCCCUGGGCCAAUACUGACGCUCAUGCACGAAAGCGUGGGGAGCAAACAGGAUUAGAUACCCCAGUAGUCCCUGUCUCUUAUAC
Molecule: ribosomal RNA, 301 nt
Filed under: uncultured bacterium
Lineage: Bacteria
Description: partial 16S ribosomal RNA
Rfam family: Bacterial small subunit ribosomal RNA
Source: RNAcentral